RNAcentral lists this ribosomal RNA (1226 nucleotides) under uncultured bacterium. Its description in RNAcentral is "bacterial SSU rRNA". It matches the Rfam family "Bacterial small subunit ribosomal RNA", at positions 148 to 1368 of the family's 1533-position model. The record is from RNAcentral.
CAAGAAUCUUGUAUAAUCCGCAAAUCUCGCGAGAGACCAAAGAGGGGAACCUUCGCCUUUUGGCAUACAGAUGUGCCCAGAUGGGAAAAGCCUAGUAGGGUGAGGUAUAUUGCUCACCUUAGGCGCCGAUCCUAGCUGUUCUGAGAAGGAUGACCAGCCACCACUGGAACUUGAGACACGGUCCAGACUCCUACGGGAGGCAGCAGUGGGGAAUAUUGCACAAUGGGCGCAAGCCUGAUGCAGCCAUGCCGCGUGUAUGAAGAAGGCCUUCGGGUUGUAAAGUACUUUCAGCGGGGAGGAAGGUGUUGUGGUUAAUAACUACAGCAAUUGACGUUACCCGCAGAAGAAGCACCGGCUAACUCCGUGCCAGCAGCCGCGGUAAUACGGAGGGUGCAAGCGUUAAUCGGAAUUACUGGGCGUAAAGCGCACGCAGGCGGUCUGUCAAGUCGGAUGUGAAAUCCCCGAGCUCAACCUGGGAACUGCAUUCGAAACUGGCAGGCUAGAGUCUUGUAGAGGGGGGUAGAAUUCCAGGUGUAGCGGUGAAAUGCGUAGAGAUCUGGAGGAAUACCGGUGGCGAAGGCGGCCCCCUGGACAAAGACUGACGCUCAGGUGCGAAAGCGUGGGGAGCAGACAGGAUUAGAUACCCUGGUAGUCCACGCCGUAAACGAUGUCGACUUGGAGGUUGUGCCCUUGAGGCGUGGCUUCCGGAGCUAACGCGUUAAGUCGACCGCCUGGGGAGUACGGCCGCAAGGUUAAAACUCAAAUGAAUUGACGGGGGCCCGCACAAGCGGUGGGGCAUGUGGUUUAAUUCGAUGCAACGCGAAGAACCUUACCUACUCUUGACAUCCAGAGAACUUUCCAGAGAUGGAUUGGUGCCUUCGGGAACUCUGAGACAGGUGCUGCAUGGCUGUCGUCAGCUCGUGUUGUGAAAUGUUGGGUUAAGUCCCGCAACGAGCGCAACCCUUAUCCUUUGUUGCCAGCGGUCCGGCCGGGAACUCAAAGGAGACUGCCAGUGAUAAACUGGAGGAAGGUGGGGAUGACGUCAAGUCAUCAUGGCCCUUACGAGUAGGGCUACACACGUGCUACAAUGGCGCAUACAAAGAGAAGCGAACUCGCGAGAGCAAGCGGACCUCAUAAAGUGCGUCGUAGUCCGGAUUGGAGUCUGCAACUCGACUCCAUGAAGUCGGAAUCGCUAGUAAUCGUAGAUCAGAAUGCUACGAAUCUAA